GUUAAACCGUGUAAGCCAAAAUAGAAAAAGUCAAUUUUUUUGCAUCCCAAGUCUCUCGUACCUGUCAACUCCCACAGAUUAAAUUUCUCAUCUUGUCUGCUCCUAUAAAAGAAAAAGUGUGCCUUUGAAGAUUAACCAGACACGCUAAGUUAGCUUCCUAUUUCCUUAUCUAUCUAUUUUAUUAAACACCAGUCUUCCUUGGCUAUAUAAGUAACGGUCUUCAUCAAAUACUACAACAAAUCUCACCAUUCCAUUCCCAAAAACCAAAAGAUACACACAACCCAUACAUAAAUCUUAUCAUAAUUUUCAUCCUCUGUACCAAAAGAUGAACGGCAAUUCCUCCUACNNNN
RNAcentral lists this long non-coding RNA (350 nucleotides) under Carica papaya (papaya). RNAcentral describes it as "long non-coding RNA (CPAP_LNC007779)". The record is from RNAcentral. Lineage: Eukaryota; Viridiplantae; Streptophyta; Magnoliopsida; Brassicales; Caricaceae.